This 494-nucleotide ribosomal RNA is filed under the name uncultured bacterium. Its description in RNAcentral is "bacterial SSU rRNA". It matches the Rfam family "Bacterial small subunit ribosomal RNA", at positions 29 to 517 of the family's 1533-position model. The record is from RNAcentral.
AACGAACGCUGGCGGCGCGCCUAAUACAUGCAAGUCGAACGAGAAGCUGUAGCAAUACAGUUGUACAGUGGCGAACGGGUGAGGAAUACAUGGGUGACCUACCCUCGAGUGGGGAAUAACCAGCCGAAAGGUUGGCUAAUACCGCGUACGCUUCCCAGUCUACGGGUUGGGAAGGAAAGCGAUGCCGUGGGUAUCGCGCUCAAGGUUGGGCUCAUGUCCUAUCAGCUUGUUGGGGGGUAACGGCUCACCAAGGCAACGACGGGUAGCUGGUCUGAGAGGACGAUCAGCCACACUGGCACUGCGACACGGGCCAGACUCCUACGGGAGGCAGCAGUAAGGAAUAUUGCGCAAUGGGCGAAAGCCUGACGCAGCGACGCCGCGUGGGGGAUGAAGGUCUUCGGAUUGUAAACCCCUUUCGGGAGGGAGGAUGGAACGAGCAAUCGUUCGGACGGUACCUCCAGAAGCAGCCACGGCUAACUUCGUGCCAGCAGCCG